This 1058-nucleotide ribosomal RNA is filed under the name uncultured bacterium. Its description in RNAcentral is "bacterial SSU rRNA". It matches the Rfam family "Bacterial small subunit ribosomal RNA", at positions 355 to 1481 of the family's 1533-position model. The record is from RNAcentral.
GUUGGAAUCUUCCGCAAUGGGCGAAAGCCUGACGGAGCGACGCCGCGUGAGGGAUGAAGGCCUUCGGGUUGUAAACCUCUAUUAAAAAGGGACGGCUAACUACGUGCCAGCAGCAGCGGUAAUACGUAGGUCCCGAGCAUUAUCCGGUGUUAUUAGGCGUAAAGAGUUCUGUAGGCGGUUUUACAAGUUAAGGGUUAGAGCCUGGUGCUCAACACCAGAAAAGCUUUUAAUACUGUAAAACUAGACAUAUGGAGGGGAAGCUGGAAUUUGUGGAGGAGUAGUGAAAUGCGUUGAUCUCACAAAGAACACCAAAGGCGUAGGCAAGCUUCUGGCCAUAUUGUGACGCUGAGAGACGAAAGCGUGGGGAGCGAAAAGGAUUAGAUACCCUUGUAGUCCACGCCGUAAACUAUGGAUACUAGAUUGUCGUUUGCCUUUUUGGCAGGUGACAGUCGUAGCUAACGCGUUAAGUAUCCCGCCUGGGAAGUACGAUCGCAAGAUUAAAACUCAAAGAAAUUGACGGGGUUCCGCACAAGCGGUGGAGCGUGUGGUUUAAUUCGAUGCUAACCGAAGAACCUUACCCAGGUUUGACAUGUUUCUGCUAACCCCGAGAAAUCGGGGCUCCUUCGAGGGUGAAACACAGAUGUUGCAUGGCUGUCGUCAGCUCGUGCCGUGAGGUGUAUCCUUAAGUGGAAUAACGAGCGCAACCCCUAUUGUUAGUUGUAUCACUCUAGCAAGACUGCCCGGGCAACCGGGAGGAAGGUGGGGAUGACGUCAAGUCGGCAUGGCUCUUACGCCUGGGGCUACACACGCGCUACAAUGGCCGGUACAACGGGCUGCAACACGGUGACGUGAAGCGAAUCCCUUAAAGCCGGUCUCAGUUCGGAUUGAAGUCUGCAACUCGACUUCAUGAAGUUGGAAUCGCUAGUAAUCGCAAGUCAGCUAUAUUGCGGUGAAUACGUUCUCGGAACUUGUACACACCGCCCGUCAAGUGGGUAAAGUUGGAAAUGCCCGAAGUCCCUAGGUCAUCCAGGGCCGAAGGCAGGUUCAGCGAUAAACAC